GACGAACGCUGGCGGCGUGCUUAACACAUGCAAGUCGAACGAAGUGGCGAACGGGUGAGUAACGCGUAAUCAACCUGCCCUUCAGAGGGGGACAACAGUUGGAAACGACUGCUAAUACCGCAUACGGAAGGAGGGGCUUGCGUCUGAUGUGCGAGUUGGGGGGGUAACGGACCACCAAGGCGAUGAGCAGUAGCCGGUCUGGGAGGGUGAACGGCCACAUUGGGACUGAGACACAGCCCAGACUCCUACGGGAUGCAGCAGUGGGGAAUCUUCCGAAAUGGAGGGAAGUCUGACGGAGCAACGCCGCGUGAGUGAUGACGGCCUUCGGGUUGUAAAGCUCUGUUAAUCGGGACGCGGUACCGGCAUAGAAAGCCACGGCUAACUACGUGCCAGCAGCCGCGGUAAUAC
Molecule: ribosomal RNA, 408 nt
Filed under: uncultured bacterium
Lineage: Bacteria
Description: partial 16S ribosomal RNA
Rfam family: Bacterial small subunit ribosomal RNA
Source: RNAcentral